AUUUGUUGGAGGCGCGCUACACAGAGGCUCGCUACACAUUGUUUUCCUCCGGUAUGGAACACAGAUCAUCCCGUCUUCAAUUUUAUCGAUUUUCUACGUAAAAAAAAUACCUAAAGUUGUAUUACAAAAGUAGUUUGAAAUGUUUGGACAAAGCUUACAGGUAACAUUUGAGAUAUUUUGUAGUUACGUUGUGCAAGUUGGAACCGGUGUUUUUCUGGAUCAAACGGGUCAAAUAAAUGUACAUUUUGGAUAUAUAUCAACGGAAUUAAUCAAACAAAAUGAUCAUUUGUGAUGUUUAUGGGACAUAUUGGAGUGCCAACAGAAGAAGCUCAUCAAAGGUGUCGCCCAUCUUCCCCACUUAUCCCCUGGGUAUAUAUACCUGUGUUUUCUGUUUUCAUCGUGUUUGCAAAGUCAACCAGUGUUUUUCUCUCAGCUCCUGUUUUUCCCAGUCUCUCUUUUUCUCAUCCUCCUGGUUUUGACCCUUGCCUGU
Molecule: long non-coding RNA, 490 nt
Organism: Oncorhynchus tshawytscha (Chinook salmon)
Lineage: Eukaryota; Metazoa; Chordata; Actinopteri; Salmoniformes; Salmonidae
Source: Ensembl